UACGGAGGGUGCAAGCGUUAUCCGGAUUCACUGGGUUUAAAGGGUGCGUAGGCGGGCAGGUAAGUCAGUGGUGAAAUCUUCGAGCUUAACUCGGAAACUGCCUUUGAUACUAUCUGUCUUGAAUAUUGUGGAGGUAAGCGGAAUAUGUCAUGUAGCGGUGAAAUGCUUAGAGAUGACAUAGAACACCCAUUGCGAAGGCAGCUUACUACGCAUAUAUUGACGCUGAGGCGCGAAAGCGUGGGGAGCGAACAGG
This 253-nucleotide ribosomal RNA is filed under the name uncultured bacterium. RNAcentral describes it as "partial 16S ribosomal RNA". It matches the Rfam family "Bacterial small subunit ribosomal RNA", at positions 524 to 776 of the family's 1533-position model. The record is from RNAcentral.